Molecule: ribosomal RNA, 1462 nt
Filed under: Klebsiella quasivariicola
Lineage: Bacteria; Pseudomonadati; Pseudomonadota; Gammaproteobacteria; Enterobacterales; Enterobacteriaceae
Description: bacterial SSU rRNA
Rfam family: Bacterial small subunit ribosomal RNA
Source: RNAcentral
AUUGAACGCUGGCGGCAGGCCUAACACAUGCAAGUCGAGCGGUAGCACAGAGAGCUUGCUCUCGGGUGACGAGCGGCGGACGGGUGAGUAAUGUCUGGGAAACUGCCUGAUGGAGGGGGAUAACUACUGGAAACGGUAGCUAAUACCGCAUAACGUCGCAAGACCAAAGUGGGGGACCUUCGGGCCUCAUGCCAUCAGAUGUGCCCAGAUGGGAUUAGCUAGUAGGUGGGGUAACGGCUCACCUAGGCGACGAUCCCUAGCUGGUCUGAGAGGAUGACCAGCCACACUGGAACUGAGACACGGUCCAGACUCCUACGGGAGGCAGCAGUGGGGAAUAUUGCACAAUGGGCGCAAGCCUGAUGCAGCCAUGCCGCGUGUGUGAAGAAGGCCUUCGGGUUGUAAAGCACUUUCAGCGGGGAGGAAGGCGGUGAGGUUAAUAACCUCAUCGAUUGACGUUACCCGCAGAAGAAGCACCGGCUAACUCCGUGCCAGCAGCCGCGGUAAUACGGAGGGUGCAAGCGUUAAUCGGAAUUACUGGGCGUAAAGCGCACGCAGGCGGUCUGUCAAGUCGGAUGUGGAAUCCCCGGGCUCAACCUGGGAACUGCAUUCGAAACUGGCAGGCUAGAGUCUUGUAGAGGGGGGUAGAAUUCCAGGUGUAGCGGUGAAAUGCGUAGAGAUCUGGAGGAAUACCGGUGGCGAAGGCGGCCCCCUGGACAAAGACUGACGCUCAGGUGCGAAAGCGUGGGGAGCAAACAGGAUUAGAUACCCUGGUAGUCCACGCUGUAAACGAUGUCGAUUUGGAGGUUGUGCCCUUGAGGCGUGGCUUCCGGAGCUAACGCGUUAAAUCGACCGCCUGGGGAGUACGGCCGCAAGGUUAAAACUCAAAUGAAUUGACGGGGGCCCGCACAAGCGGUGGAGCAUGUGGUUUAAUUCGAUGCAACGCGAAGAACCUUACCUGGUCUUGACAUCCACAGAACUUUCCAGAGAUGGAUUGGUGCCUUCGGGAACUGUGAGACAGGUGCUGCAUGGCUGUCGUCAGCUCGUGUUGUGAAAUGUUGGGUUAAGUCCCGCAACGAGCGCAACCCUUAUCCUUUGUUGCCAGCGGUUAGGCCGGGAACUCAAAGGAGACUGCCAGUGAUAAACUGGAGGAAGGUGGGGAUGACGUCAAGUCAUCAUGGCCCUUACGACCAGGGCUACACACGUGCUACAAUGGCAUAUACAAAGAGAAGCGACCUCGCGAGAGCAAGCGGACCUCAUAAAGUAUGUCGUAGUCCGGAUUGGAGUCUGCAACUCGACUCCAUGAAGUCGGAAUCGCUAGUAAUCGUAGAUCAGAAUGCUACGGUGAAUACGUUCCCGGGCCUUGUACACACCGCCCGUCACACCAUGGGAGUGGGUUGCAAAAGAAGUAGGUAGCUUAACCUUCGGGAGGGCGCUUACCACUUUGUGAUUCAUGACUGGGGUG